Molecule: ribosomal RNA, 960 nt
Filed under: Guptibacillus algicola
Lineage: Bacteria; Bacillati; Bacillota; Bacilli; Caryophanales; Guptibacillaceae
Description: bacterial SSU rRNA
Rfam family: Bacterial small subunit ribosomal RNA
Source: RNAcentral
UGUUUGUUAGGGAAAGAACAAAGUACCGUUUCGAAUAGGGCCGGUACCUUGACGGUACCUUAACCAGAAAGCCACGGCUAACUACGUGCCAGCAGCCGCGGUAAUACGUAGGUGGCAAGCGUUGUCCGGAAUUAUUGGGCGUAAAGCGCGCGCAGGCGGUCUCUUAAGUCUGAUGUGAAAGCCCACGGCUCAACCGUGGAGGGCCAUUGGAAACUGGGGGACUUGAGUGCAGAAGAGGAGAGUGGAAUUCCACGUGUAGCGGUGAAAUGCGUAGAUAUGUGGAGGAACACCAGUGGCGAAGGCGGCUCUCUGGUCUGUAACUGACGCUGAGGCGCGAAAGCGUGGGGAGCAAACAGGAUUAGAUACCCUGGUAGUCCACGCCGUAAACGAUGAGUGCUAGGUGUUGGGGGGGUUCCACCCUCAGUGCUGAAGUUAACACAUUAAGCACUCCGCCUGGGGGAGUACGACCGCAAGGUUGAAACUCAAAGGAAUUGACGGGGGGCCCGCACCAAGCAAGUGGAGCAUGGUGGUUUAAUUUCGAAGCAACGCCGAAAGAACCUUAACCAGGUCUUUGGACAUCCUUCUGGCCAUCUCCUAAANAGAUAGGAACGUUCCCCCUUCCGGGGGACAAAGAGUGACAGGGGUGGUGCAAUUGGUUGUUCGUCACGUCUCGUGGUCCGUGAAGAUUUGUUGGGUUAAGUCCCCCGCACACCGAGCGGCAAACCUCUUAGAAUCUUAGUAGUGUCUCAGCACUUCAGUAUGGGCACUCUAAGGUGACUGCCGGUGACAAACCGGAGGAAGGUGGGGACGACGUCAAAUCAUCAUGCCCCUUAUGACCUGGGCUACACACGUGCUACAAUGGACGGUACAAAGGGCAGCAACACCGCGAGGUGAAGCGAAUCCCAUAAAGCCGUUCUCAGUUCGGAUUGCAGGCUGCAACUCGCCUGCAUGAAGCCGGAA